GUAGAGACCGUUCACGGGUGCAGGAGA
Molecule: non-coding RNA, 27 nt
Filed under: Rattus norvegicus (Norway rat)
Lineage: Eukaryota; Metazoa; Chordata; Mammalia; Rodentia; Muridae
Source: RNAcentral